This 99-nucleotide transfer RNA is filed under the name Candidatus Obscuribacterales bacterium. RNAcentral's name for it is "tRNA-Sec". It matches the Rfam family "Selenocysteine transfer RNA". Lineage: Bacteria; Bacillati; Candidatus Melainabacteria; Candidatus Obscuribacterales. The record is from RNAcentral.
GGGGAUGGAGCACCGCUGGUGUGGUGCACGGUCUUCAAAACCGCUGUGGGGCAGGUAAGAGCUGUCCCGGGUAGGUUCGAUUCCUACGCGUCCCCGCCA